RNAcentral lists this ribosomal RNA (431 nucleotides) under Petasospora sp. Its description in RNAcentral is "Cyberlindnera sp. partial large subunit ribosomal RNA". It matches the Rfam family "Eukaryotic large subunit ribosomal RNA", at positions 107 to 536 of the family's 3401-position model. Lineage: Eukaryota; Fungi; Ascomycota; Saccharomycetes; Phaffomycetales; Wickerhamomycetaceae. The record is from RNAcentral.
GCUCAAAUUUGAAAUCUAGUACCUUCGGUGCUCGAGUUGUAAUUUGGAGAUAGUUUUCUGGUGCUGGCCCUUGUCUAUGUUCCUUGGAACAGGACGUCAUAGAGGGUGAGAAUCCCGUCUGAUGGGGUGUCCAGUGCUUUGUAGAUUUCUAUCGAAGAGUCGAGUUGUUUGGGAAUGCAGCUCUAAGUGGGUGGUAAAUUCCAUCUAAAGCUAAAUAUUGGCGAGAGACCGAUAGCGAACAAGUACAGUGAUGGAAAGAUGAAAAGAACUUUGAAAAGAGAGUGAAAAAGUACGUGAAAUUGUUGAAAGGGAAGGAUAUUGGAUCAGACUUGGUGUUUUGUGAUUAUCUUCCCUUCUUGGGUUGUGCACUCGCAUUUCACUGGGCCAGCAUCGAUUCGGAUGGCAAGAUAAUGGCUUGGGAACGUGGCUCU